RNAcentral lists this ribosomal RNA (465 nucleotides) under Vreelandella stevensii. RNAcentral describes it as "partial 16S ribosomal RNA". It matches the Rfam family "Bacterial small subunit ribosomal RNA", at positions 338 to 795 of the family's 1533-position model. Lineage: Bacteria; Pseudomonadati; Pseudomonadota; Gammaproteobacteria; Oceanospirillales; Halomonadaceae. The record is from RNAcentral.
CCUACGGGUGGCAGCAGUGGGGAAUAUUGGACAAUGGGGGCAACCCUGAUCCAGCCAUGCCGCGUGUGUGAAGAAGGCCCUCGGGUUGUAAAGCACUUUCAGUGAGGAAGAACGCCUGGUGGUUAAUACCCAUCAGGAAAGACAUCACUCACAGAAGAAGCACCGGCUAACUCCGUGCCAGCAGCCGCGGUAAUACGGAGGGUGCGAGCGUUAAUCGGAAUUACUGGGCGUAAAGCGCGCGUAGGUGGCUUGAUAAGCCGGUUGUGAAAGCCCCGGGCUCAACCUGGGAACGGCAUCCGGAACUGUCAAGCUAGAGUGCAGGAGAGGAAGGUAGAAUUCCCGGUGUAGCGGAGAAAUGCGUAGAGAUCGGGAGGAAUACCAGUGGCGAAGGCGGCCUUCUGGACUGACACUGACACUGAGGUGCGAAAGCGUGGGUAGCAAACAGGAUUAGAUACCCUGGUAGUC